CGACGUUUCAGUCCUACUCAAGGACUUUCAUCAGGAUUAUGUAAACCCUGAUGAAAGUUUACAUAAUCCUGAUGAAAGUCCUUGAGUAGGACUGAAACGUC
Pelobates cultripes (western spadefoot toad) is the source of this 101-nucleotide non-coding RNA. NCBI's taxonomy places the organism in Eukaryota, Metazoa, Chordata, Amphibia, Anura, Pelobatidae. The record is from the annotation of a GenBank genome assembly.